AGAGUUUGAUCCUGGCUCAGGACGAACGCUGGCGGCACGCUUAACACAUGCAAGUCGAACGAGAGAAGAGGAGCUUGCUUUUCUGAUCUAGUGGCGGACGGGUGAGUAACACGUGAGCAAUCUGCCUUUCAGAGGGGGAUACCGAUUGGAAACGAUCGUUAAUACCGCAUAACAUAAUUGAACCGCAUGAUUUGAUUAUCAAAGAUUUAUCGCUGAAAGAUGGGCUCGCGUCUGAUUAGCUAGUUGGUAAGGUAACGGCUUACCAAGGCGACGAUCAGUAGCCGGACUGAGAGGUUGAUCGGCCACAUUGGGACUGAGACACGGCCCAGACUCCUACGGGAGGCAGCAGUGGGGAAUAUUGCACAAUGGAGGAAACUCUGAUGCAGCGAUGCCGCGUGAGGGAAGAAGGUUUUAGGAUUGUAAACCUCUGUCUUCAGGGACGAAAAAAGACGGUACCUGAGGAGGAAGCUCCGGCUAACUACGUGCCAGCAGCCGCGGUAAUACGUAGGGAGCGAGCGUUGUCCGGAAUUACUGGGUGUAAAGGGAGCGUAGGCGGGAUCGCAAGUCAGAUGUGAAAACUAUGGGCUUAACCCAUAAACUGCAUUUGAAACUGUGGUUCUUGAGUGAAGUAGAGGUAAGCGGAAUUCCUAGUGUAGCGGUGAAAUGCGUAGAUAUUAGGAGGAACAUCAGUGGCGAAGGCGGCUUACUGGGCUUUAACUGACGCUGAGGCUCGAAAGCGUGGGGAGCAAACAGGAUUAGAUACCCUGGUAGUCCACGCCGUAAACGAUGACUACUAGGUGUGGGGGGACUGACCCCUUCCGUGCCGCAGCAAACGCAAUAAGUAAUCCACCUGGGGAGUACGACCGCAAGGUUGAAACUCAAAGGAAUUGACGGGGGCCCGCACAAGCAGUGGAGUAUGUGGAUUAAUUCGAAGCAACGCGAAGAACCUUACCAGGUCUUGACAUCGUAUGCAUAGCUCAGAGAUGAGUGAAAUCUCUUCGGAGACAUAUAGACAGGUGGUGCAUGGUUGUCGUCAGCUCGUGUCGUGAGAUGUUGGGUUAAGUCCCGCAACGAGCGCAACCCUUACUGUUAGUUGCUACGCAAGAGCACUCUAGCAGGACUGCCGUUGACAAAACGGAGGAAGGUGGGGAUGACGUCAAAUCAUCAUGCCCCUUAUGACCUGGGCCUCACACGUACUACAAUGGCUGUCAACAGAGGGAAGCAAAGCCGCGAGGUGGAGCGAACCCCUAAAAGCAGUCUUAGUUCGGAUUGUAGGCUGCAACCCGCCUACAUGAAGUCGGAAUUGCUAGUAAUCGCAGAUCAGCAUGCUGCGGUGAAUACGUUCCCGGGCCUUGUACACACCGCCCGUCACGCCAUGGGAGUCGGUAACACCCGAAGCCUGUAGUCUAACCGCAAGGAGGACGCAGUCGAAGGUGGGAUUGAUGACUGGGGUGAAGUCGUAACAAGGUA
RNAcentral lists this ribosomal RNA (1470 nucleotides) under metagenome. RNAcentral's name for it is "bacterial SSU rRNA". It matches the Rfam family "Bacterial small subunit ribosomal RNA". The record is from RNAcentral.